UACGGAGGAUCCAAGCGUUAUCCGGAUUUAUUGGGUUUAAAGGGUGCGUAGGCGGGACAGUAAGUCAGUGGUGAAAUCCUAUCGCUUAACGAUAGAAUUGCCAUUGAUACUGCUGACCUUGAGUACAAAUGAUGUGGGCGGAAUGUGCAGUGUAGCGGUGAAAUGCUUAGAUAUUGCACAGAACACCGAUAGCGAAGGCAGCUCACAGAAAUGUAACUGACGCUGAUGCACGAAAGUAUGGGGAUCAAACAGG
RNAcentral lists this ribosomal RNA (253 nucleotides) under uncultured bacterium. RNAcentral describes it as "partial 16S ribosomal RNA". It matches the Rfam family "Bacterial small subunit ribosomal RNA", at positions 524 to 776 of the family's 1533-position model. The record is from RNAcentral.